AAGAGACUUAGUCCUAACCUUGCCAUUAAUUCCCCGCUAAACAUAUACAUGCAAGUAUCCGCACGCCAGUGUAAAUGCCCACAGCCGCCUUACCAAGGCAAAAGGAGCAGGCAUCAGGCGCACUUACGACUGUAGCCCAAGACGCCUUGCUUAGCCACACCCCCACGGGAACUCAGCAGUAAUUAACAUUAAGCAAUGAGUGUAAACUUGACUUAGUUAUAGCAACCCAAGGGCCGGUAAAUCUUGUGCCAGCCACCGCGGUCACACAAGAGGCCCAAAUUAAUCGCUAAACGGCGUAAAGCGUGGCACUACCCUAUCACAGCAACUAAGAUCAAAAUGCAAUCGAGCUGUCAUAAGCCUAAGCUGCACCAAAGACCGCCUUAAAGAUGAUCUCAGCCCCUCUGAUUGACUACGCCCACGAAAGCCAGGGCACAAACUGGGAUUAGAUACCCCACUAUGCCUGGCCUUAAAUCUAGAUGCUCACCGUACCCAAGCAUCCGCCCGAGAACUACGAGCACAAACGCUUGAAACUCUAAGGACUUGGCGGUGCCCCAAACCCACCUAGAGGAGCCUGUCCUAUAAUCGAUAACCCACGAUACACCCGCCCGCUUCUUGCCAAAGCAGCCUAUAUACCGCCGUCACCAGUCCACCUCUGUGAGAGAAUAAUAGUGGGCACAAUAGCCCCCGCGCUAACAAGACAGGUCAAGGUAUAGCCUAUGAAGCGGAAGAGAUGGGCUACAUUCUCUAAAAUAGAGAACUCACGAAAGCGGGUGUGAAAUCACCCCCGGAAGGCGGAUUUAGCAGUAAAGUGGAAUAAUAAAGCCCCCUUUAAGUUGGCCCUGGGGCACGUACAUACCGCCCGUCACCCUCCUCAUAAGCUUCAACCGCCCAUAGCUAAUACGCCCACUAGCCAAAGACGAGGUAAGUCGUAACAAGGUAAGUGUACCGGAAGGUGCACUUAGCACAUC
Molecule: ribosomal RNA, 968 nt
Filed under: Cariama cristata (Red-legged seriema)
Lineage: Eukaryota; Metazoa; Chordata; Aves; Cariamiformes; Cariamidae
Description: 12S ribosomal RNA
Rfam family: Bacterial small subunit ribosomal RNA
Source: RNAcentral